GAUGAACGCUGGCGGCGUGCCUAAUACAUGCAAGUCGAGCGAACAGACGAGGAGCUUGCUCCUCUGACGUUAGCGGCGGACGGGUGAGUAACACGUGGAUAACCUACCUAUAAGACUGGGAUAACUUCGGGAAACCGGAGCUAAUACCGGAUAAUAUAUUGAACCGCAUGGUUCAAUAGUGAAAGACGGUUUUGCUGUCACUUAUAGAUGGAUCCGCGCCGCAUUAGCUAGUUGGUAAGGUAACGGCUUACCAAGGCUACGAUGCGUAGCCCACCUGAGAGGGUGAUCGGCCACACUGGAACUGAGACACGGUCCAGACUCCUACGGGAGGCAGCAGUAGGGAAUCUUCCGCAAUGGGCGAAAGCCUGACGGAGCAACGCCGCGUGAGUGAUGAAGGUCUUCGGAUCGUAAAACUCUGUUAUUAGGGAAGAACAAAUGUGUAAGUAACUAUGCACGUCUUGACGGUACCUAAUCAGAAAGCCACGGCUAACUACGUG
Molecule: ribosomal RNA, 497 nt
Filed under: uncultured bacterium
Lineage: Bacteria
Description: partial 16S ribosomal RNA
Rfam family: Bacterial small subunit ribosomal RNA
Source: RNAcentral